UACAGAGGGGGCAAGCGUUGUUCGGAAUUACUGGGCGUAAAGGGCGCGUAGGCGGCCUGUUAAGUCGGACGUGAAAUCCCACGGCUCAACCGUGGAACUGCUUGGCAUACUGGCGGUCUUGAGCAACCUAGGGGCGAGCGGAACAAAUGGUGGAGCGGUGAAAUGCGUAGAUAUCAUUUGGAACGCCAAUGGUGAAAACAGCUCGCUGGGGGUUUGCUGACGCUGAGACACGAAAGCCAGGGGAGCAAACGGG
RNAcentral lists this ribosomal RNA (253 nucleotides) under uncultured bacterium. RNAcentral's name for it is "partial 16S ribosomal RNA". It matches the Rfam family "Bacterial small subunit ribosomal RNA", at positions 524 to 776 of the family's 1533-position model. The record is from RNAcentral.